This 494-nucleotide unclassified non-coding RNA is filed under the name Hevea brasiliensis (rubber tree). The record is from RNAcentral. Lineage: Eukaryota; Viridiplantae; Streptophyta; Magnoliopsida; Malpighiales; Euphorbiaceae.
AUCAUGUUGAUUAUUUUAUUGAUUGUCAUCACUCAGGAGAAGGUGAAAGUUUAUGGGUGAUUGGUGGAACUAAUGGUGGUGCAUUAGGCUAUUUUCCUGUAAAUUAUAGAGCAGGGACAAUAGGAUCACCGGAAGCAAUUCUUGGGGGUGGGCAUACGGGUGUUGUUAGGAGUGUAUUGCCGAUGUCAAGCAUGAAGCAUGGACUUGCCCAAAGUCGAGACAUUUUUGGAUGGACUGGCGGUGAAGAUGGCCGCUUAUGUUGCUGGUCAUCUGAUGAUUCUACAACGAUAAAUCGCGCUUGGAUUUCAGGUGCACUGGUUAUGAGAUCCUCAAAAUCCCGCAAGAAAAAGAGGCAUCUACCUUAUUAACAGAAUGAUGUGUUAAAAAAUUUAUAUGUUCUCUAUGUUCUUUUCAGAGUUAUUUUAAAAAAUUUUAAUUUUCUCCCUCUAUUUUUCAGAUUUAUCUUCCAAUUUUGCAGCAACGAGCAUGCUUCU